CCUACGGGUGGCAGCAGUGAGGAAUAUUGGUCAAUGGGCGCAAGCCUGAACCAGCCAAGUCGCGUGAGGGAUGACGGUCCUAUGGAUUGUAAACCUCUUUUGUCGGGGAGCAAGGCCCGCCACGUGUGGCGGGAAGGAGAGUACCCGAAGAAAAAGCAUCGGCUAACUCCGUGCCAGCAGCCGCGGUAAUACGGAGGAUGCGAGCGUUAUCCGGAUUUAUUGGGUUUAAAGGGUGCGUAGGCGGAUCGUUAAGUCAGUGGUCAAAUUGAGGGGCUCAACCCCUUCCCGACAUGGAAACUGGCGCUCUUGAGUGGAAGAGAAGUAUGCGGAAUGCGUGGUGUAGCGGUGAAAUGCAUAGAUAUCACGCAGAACCCCGAUUGCGAAGGCAGCAUGCCGGCUUCCGACUGACGCUGAAGCACGAAAGCGUGGGGAUCGAACAGGAUUAGAUACCCCUGUAGUC
This 460-nucleotide ribosomal RNA is filed under the name uncultured bacterium. Its description in RNAcentral is "partial 16S ribosomal RNA". It matches the Rfam family "Bacterial small subunit ribosomal RNA", at positions 338 to 795 of the family's 1533-position model. The record is from RNAcentral.